RNAcentral lists this ribosomal RNA (426 nucleotides) under uncultured bacterium. Its description in RNAcentral is "partial 16S ribosomal RNA". It matches the Rfam family "Bacterial small subunit ribosomal RNA", at positions 354 to 796 of the family's 1533-position model. The record is from RNAcentral.
GUUAGGAAUCUUCCACAAUGGGGGCAACCCUGAUGGAGCAACACCGCGUGCUGGAUGAAGGCCUUCGGGUCGUAAACAGCUUUUGUAUACGAAGAAUAUGACGGUAAUAUACGAAUAAGGGUCGGCUAACUACGUGCCAGCAGCCGCGGUCAUACGUAGGACCCAAGCGUUAUCCGGAGUGACUGGGCGUAAAGAGUUGCGUAGGCGGCUUAUUAAGCGAGUAGUGAAAUCUGGUGGCUCAACCAUCAACACAUUGCUCGAACUGAUAGGCUUGAGAAUGGUAGAGGUAGUUGGAAUUUCUUGUGUAGGAGUGAAAUCCGUAGAUAUAAGAAGGAACACCAAUGGCGUAGGCAGACUACUGGACCAUUUCUGACGCUGAGGCACGAAAGCGUGGGGAGCGAACCGGAUUAGAAACCCGUGUAGUCC